RNAcentral lists this ribosomal RNA (445 nucleotides) under uncultured bacterium. RNAcentral's name for it is "bacterial SSU rRNA". It matches the Rfam family "Bacterial small subunit ribosomal RNA", at positions 354 to 796 of the family's 1533-position model. The record is from RNAcentral.
GUGAGGAAUAUUGGUCAAUGGGCGAGAGCCUGAACCAGCCAAGUAGCGUGCAGGAUGACGGCCCUAUGGGUUGUAAACUGCUUUUAUACGGGGAUAAAGUGAGCCACGUGUGGCUUAUUGCAGGUACCGUAUGAAUAAGGACCGGCUAAUUCCGUGCCAGCAGCCGCGGUAAUACGGAAGGUCCGGGCGUUAUCCGGAUUUAUUGGGUUUAAAGGGAGCGUAGGCCGUCUGUUAAGCGUGUUGUGAAAUGUCGGGGCUCAACCUGGGCAUUGCAGCGCGAACUGGCAGACUUGAGUGCACGGGAAGUAGGCGGAAUUCGUCGUGUAGCGGUGAAAUGCUUAGAUAUGACGAAGAACUCCGAUUGCGAAGGCAGCCUGCUGUAGUGCAACUGACGCUGAAGCUCGAAAGCGUGGGUAUCGAACAGGAUUAGAAACCCUAGUAGUCC